GGGGAUGUAACUAAGUGGUAGAGUGCAUGCUUAGCACACAUGAGACCUGGGUUCAAUCACCAGCACCACAA
Molecule: transfer RNA, 71 nt
Filed under: Marmota marmota marmota (Alpine marmot)
Lineage: Eukaryota; Metazoa; Chordata; Mammalia; Rodentia; Sciuridae
Also listed under: 1 other name
Rfam family: tRNA
About the family: Transfer RNA (tRNA) molecules are approximately 80 nucleotides in length. Their secondary structure includes four short double-helical elements and three loops (D, anti-codon, and T loops).
Source: Rfam by way of RNAcentral